RNAcentral lists this ribosomal RNA (468 nucleotides) under uncultured bacterium. RNAcentral describes it as "partial 16S ribosomal RNA". It matches the Rfam family "Bacterial small subunit ribosomal RNA", at positions 28 to 507 of the family's 1533-position model. The record is from RNAcentral.
GACGAACGCUGGCGGCGUGCUUAACACAUGCAAGUCGGACGGAAAGGCCCUUCUUUUGUGGGGUGCUCGAGUGGCGAACGGGUGAGUAACACGAGAGUAACCUGCCCUUGACUUUGGGAUAGCUUCAGGAAACUGGGGUUAAUCCCAUACAGGAGAUCCUGCUGCAUUGUGGGGGUUGGAAAGUUGCGGCGGGUGGGGAUGGACUCGCGGCUUGUCAGCUUGUUGGUGGGGUAGUGGCUGACCAAGGCUUUGACGGGUAGCCGGCCUGAGUGGGUGAGCGGCCACAUUGGGACUGAGAUGGGGGCCAGACUCCGACAGGAGGCAACAGUGGGGGAUAUUGUGCAGCGGGCGCGCGCCGGAUGCAACGACGCCGCGUGCGGGAUGACGGUCUUCGGGUUGUGAACCGCUUUCGCCUGUUACGAAGCGUGGGUGACGGUAACGGGUAAAGAAGCACCGGCUAACUACGUG